GGCUGGUCGGCAUGCAGUGGUAUUUAUAACUAAUUGAUCACAACCAGUUACAUGUUUGUUUCUUCUCUACCCUUGACUAGCUUAUU
RNAcentral lists this small RNA (86 nucleotides) under Aotus nancymaae (Ma's night monkey). RNAcentral's name for it is "Y RNA (ENSANAG00000012755.1)". Lineage: Eukaryota; Metazoa; Chordata; Mammalia; Primates; Aotidae. The record is from RNAcentral.